GACGAACGCUGGCGGCGUGCUUAACACAUGCAAGUCGAACGGAAAGGCCCCUUUGGGGGUCCUCGAGUGGCGAACGGGUGAGUAACACGUGAGUAACCUGCCCUUGACUUCGGGAUAACUUCAGGAAACUGGGGCUAAUACCGGCUAGGAAUCCUUGCUGCAUGGUGGGGGUUGGAAAGCUUCGGCGGUUUUGGAUGGACUCGCGGCGUAUCAGCUUGUUGGUGGGGUAGUGGCUUACCAAGGCUUUGACGGGUAGCCGGCCUGAGAGGGCGACCGGCCACAGUGGGACUGAGAUACGGCCCAGACUCCGACGGGAGGCAGCAGUGGGGAAGAUUGCACAAUGGGCGGAAGCCUGAUGCAGCAACGCCGCGUGCGGGAUGACGGCCUUCGGGUUGUAAACCGCUUUCAGCAGGGGCGAAGCUUGUGGUGACGGUACCUGCAGAAGAAGCACCGGCUAACUACGUG
This 465-nucleotide ribosomal RNA is filed under the name uncultured bacterium. Its description in RNAcentral is "partial 16S ribosomal RNA". It matches the Rfam family "Bacterial small subunit ribosomal RNA", at positions 28 to 507 of the family's 1533-position model. The record is from RNAcentral.